GAUGAACGCUGGCGGCGUGCCUAAUACAUGCAAGUCGAGCGAACGGACGAGAAGCUUGCUUCUCUGAUGUUAGCGGCGGACGGGUGAGUAACACGUGGAUAACCUACCUAUAAGACUGGGAUAACUUCGGGAAACCGUAGCUAAUACCGGAUAAUAUUUUGAACCGCAUGGUUCAAAAGUGAAAGACGGUCUUGCUGUCACUUAUAGAUGGAUCCGCGCUGCAUUAGCUAGUUGGUAAGGUAACGGCUUACCAAGGCAACGAUGCAUAGCCGACCUGAGAGGGUGAUCGGCCACACUGGAACUGAGACACGGUCCAGACUCCUACGGGAGGCAGCAGUAGGGAAUCUUCCGCAAUGGGCGAAAGCCUGACGGAGCAACGCCGCGUGAGUGAUGAAGGCCUUCGGACCGUAAAACUCUGUUAUUAGGGAAGAACAUAUGUGUAAGUAACUGUGCACAUCUUGACGGUACCUAAUCAGAAAGCCACGGCUAACUACGUG
Molecule: ribosomal RNA, 497 nt
Filed under: uncultured bacterium
Lineage: Bacteria
Description: partial 16S ribosomal RNA
Rfam family: Bacterial small subunit ribosomal RNA
Source: RNAcentral